GAUGAACGCUGGCGGCGUGCCUAAUACAUGCAAGUCGAGCGAACGGACGAGAAGCUUGCUUUUCUGAUGUUAGCGGCGGACGGGUGAGUAACACGUGGAUAACCUACCUAUAAGACUGGGAUAACUUCGGGAAACCGGAGCUAAUACCGGAUAAUAUUUUGAACCGCAUGGUUCAAAAGUGAAAGACGGUCUUGCUGUCACUUAUAGAUGGAUCCGCGCUGCAUUAGCUAGUUGGUAAGGUAACGGCUUACCAAGGCAACGAUGCAUAGCCGACCUGAGAGGGUGAUCGGCCACACUGGAACUGAGACACGGUCCAGACUCCUACGGGAGGCAGCAGUAGGGAAUCUUCCGCAAUGGGCGAAAGCCUGACGGAGCAACGCCGCGUGAGUGAUGAAGGUCUUCGGAUCGUAAAACUCUGUUAUUAGGGAAGAACAUAUGUGUAAGUAACUGUGCACAUCUGGACGGUACCUAAGCAGAAAACCACGGCUAACUACGU
This 496-nucleotide ribosomal RNA is filed under the name uncultured bacterium. Its description in RNAcentral is "partial 16S ribosomal RNA". It matches the Rfam family "Bacterial small subunit ribosomal RNA", at positions 28 to 506 of the family's 1533-position model. The record is from RNAcentral.